GCAGUCGAGCGCAGGAGCCGUCUGACCCUUCGGGGGGACGACGGUGGAAUGAGCGGCGGACGGGUGAGUAACACGUAAAGAACCUGCCCAUAGGUCUGGGAUAACCACGAGAAAUCGGGGCUAAUACCGGAUGUGUCAUCGGACCGCAUGGUCCGCUGAUGAAAGGCGCUCCGGCGUCGCCCAUGGAUGGCUUUGCGGUGCAUUAGCUAGUUGGUGGGGUAACGGCCCACCAAGGCGACGAUGCAUAGCCGACCUGAGAGGGUGAUCGGCCACACUGGGACUGAGACACGGCCCAGACUCCUACGGGAGGCAGCAGUAGGGAAUCUUCCACAAUGGACGAAAGUCUGAUGGAGCAACGCCGCGUGAACGAUGAAGGCUUUCGGGUCGUAAAGUUCUGUUGUAAGGGAAGAACAAGUGCCGCAGGCAAUGGCGGCACCUUGACGGUACCUUGCGAGAAAGCCACGGCUAACUACGUGCCAGCAGCCGCGGUAAUACGUAGGUGGCAAGCGUUGUCCGGAAUUAUUGGGCGUAAAGCGCGCGCAGCGGCCUCUUAAGUCUGAUGUGAAAGCCCCCGGCUCACCCGGGGAGGGCCAUUGGAAACUGGGAGGCUUGAGUAUAGGAGAGAAGAGUGGAAUUCCACGUGUAGCGUGAAAUGCCUAGAGAUGUGGAGGACACCAGUG
This 680-nucleotide ribosomal RNA is filed under the name Exiguobacterium profundum. Its description in RNAcentral is "bacterial SSU rRNA". It matches the Rfam family "Bacterial small subunit ribosomal RNA", at positions 57 to 714 of the family's 1533-position model. The record is from RNAcentral. Lineage: Bacteria; Bacillati; Bacillota; Bacilli; Caryophanales.